GCCUCGGACCGGUACCGGUCCGUGAGUCGUUUGGUACCGGGCCGCGAGAGUUGAGGCUCGGGUGUGAAAUGUAUGGCUUUCAGGGGUUUUUUUAUUUUUUUUUAUCGGUUUUUAGCGUUUACUGUGUUUCCCACUGAUAAAGACCUCCUCCAUUAACAUCCACGAAGUAAAAAUUUUCUUUCAUGGAAACCCUGCAAAGUAAACUUGAGACCUACUAUUAUUGGUCCCAGUGUGUGGCUCUCUGAAACCGAGGUCUACAGAGGUCUAUGUGAUGGCUGCUGGCGAGGGUGUGCAAGGAUACGGCAAACCUUGCUUUCCCCAUUUGUUCCUUUCAAUCUUUUAUCAUUCACCACAAAGGCGAAACAUCAAAUAAUGCAUCAAAGAAUAUCAUUUAAAGGCUUCCCUGUUCUCCAGUGACGGUGACCACCAUCUUUCGGGAAGGUUUCCUUCUCUAACAUCCAGC
Molecule: long non-coding RNA, 463 nt
Organism: Astatotilapia calliptera (eastern happy)
Lineage: Eukaryota; Metazoa; Chordata; Actinopteri; Cichliformes; Cichlidae
Source: Ensembl